AUUAAACGCUGGCGGCAGGCCUAACACAUGCAAGUCGAGCGGAUGAAGGGAGCUUGCUCCUGGAUUCAGCGGCGGACGGGUGAGUAAUGCCUAGGAAUCUGCCUGGUAGUGGGGGAUAACGUCCGGAAACGGGCGCUAAUACCGCAUACGUCCUGAGGGAGAAAGUGGGGGAUCUUCGGACCUCACGCUAUCAGAUGAGCCUAGGUCGGAUUAGCUAGUUGGUGGGGUAAAGGCCUACCAAGGCGACGAUCCGUAACUGGUCUGAGAGGAUGAUCAGUCACGCUGGAACUGAGACACGGUCCAGACUCCUACGGGAGGCAGCAGUGGGGAAUAUUGGACAAUGGGCGAAAGCCUGAUCCAGCCAUGCCGCGUGUGUGAAGAAGGUCUUCGGAUUGUAAAGCACUUUAAGUUGGGAGGAAGGGCAGUAAGUUAAUACCUUGCUGUUUUGACGUUACCAACAGAAUAAGCACCGGCUAACUUCGUG
Molecule: ribosomal RNA, 484 nt
Filed under: uncultured bacterium
Lineage: Bacteria
Description: partial 16S ribosomal RNA
Rfam family: Bacterial small subunit ribosomal RNA
Source: RNAcentral